UACGUAGGGUGCGAGCGUUAAUCGGAAUUGCUGGGCGUAAAGCGUGCGCAGGCGGUUGCAUAAGACAGAUGUGAAAUCCCCGGGCUUAACCUGGGAACUGCGUUUGUGACUGUGUAACUGGAGUACGGCAGAGGGGGGUGGAAUUCCUGGUGUAGCAGUGAAAUGCGUAGAUACCAGGAGGAACUCCGAUGGCGAAGGCAGCCCCCUGGGCCUGUACUGACGCUCAUGCACGAAAGCGUGGGGAGCAAACAGG
RNAcentral lists this ribosomal RNA (253 nucleotides) under uncultured bacterium. RNAcentral describes it as "partial 16S ribosomal RNA". It matches the Rfam family "Bacterial small subunit ribosomal RNA", at positions 524 to 776 of the family's 1533-position model. The record is from RNAcentral.